UACGGAGGAUGCGAGCGUUAUCCGGAUUUAUUGGGUUUAAAGGGUGCGUAGGCGGACGCUUAAGUCAGCGGUAAAAUUGCGGGGCUCAACCUCGUCGAGCCGUUGAAACUGGGUGCCUUGAGUGGGCGAGAAGUACGCGGAAUGCGUGAUGUAGCGGUGAAAUGCAUAGAUAUCACGCAGAACUCCGAUUGCGAAGGCAGCGUACCGGCGCCCAACUGACGCUGAAGCACGAAGGCGUGGGUAUCGAACAGG
RNAcentral lists this ribosomal RNA (252 nucleotides) under uncultured bacterium. RNAcentral's name for it is "partial 16S ribosomal RNA". It matches the Rfam family "Bacterial small subunit ribosomal RNA", at positions 524 to 776 of the family's 1533-position model. The record is from RNAcentral.